UGAACGCUGGCGGCGUGCUUUACACAUGCAAGUUGAAUGGGAACCCAUUCGUUUCCACUUCGGUGGAAAGGGAUGGGGGAGAAUAGCGAACGAGUGAGUAACACGUAGCGACCUACCCUGUAGCGGGGGAUAACCACUGGAAACGGUGGCUAAUACCGCAUAGACUCGAAAGAGGAAAGUGCCCACGGGCAUACUACAGGAGGGGGCUGCGGGCCAUCAGGUAGUUGGUGAGGUAGAGGCUCACCAAGCCAACGACGGCUAUCUGACGUGAGAGCGUGAUCAGACACGAGGACACUGAGACACGGGUCCUACUCCUACGGGAGGCAGCAGUGGGGAAUCCUGGACAAUGGGGGCAACCCUGAUCCAGCGACGCCGCGUGAACGACGACGUCCUUCGGGAUGUAAAGUUCUUUUUACAGGGGAGAAAGUACACCUCAGGGAAUGGGGGAGUAUUGACGGUACCCGUAGAAUAAGCCCCGGCUAACUACGUGCCAGCAGCCGCGGUAAGACGUAGGGGGCAAGCGUUACCCGGAAUCACUGGGCGUAAAGGGGGCGUAGGCGGUCUAAAGGGUCAUAUGUUAAAAGAUACGGCUUAACCGUAGAGAUGCGUAUGAAACCGUUAGACUUGAGGGUAGCAGAGGAAAAGGGAAUUACCACUGUAGGGGUGAAAUCCGUAGAGAGUGGUAAGAAUGCCGGUGGCGAAGGCGCUUUUCUGGGUUACACCUGACGCUGAGGCCCGAAAGCCAGGGGAGCGAACCGGAUUAGAUACCCGGGUAGUCCUGGCCGUAAACGAUGCUCACUAGGUGUAGUAGGUCGACAGGCCUGCUGUGCUGAAGCAAACGCGAUAAGUGAGCCGCCUGGGGAGUACG
RNAcentral lists this ribosomal RNA (868 nucleotides) under uncultured organism. RNAcentral describes it as "bacterial SSU rRNA". It matches the Rfam family "Bacterial small subunit ribosomal RNA", at positions 30 to 884 of the family's 1533-position model. The record is from RNAcentral.